Molecule: ribosomal RNA, 1540 nt
Filed under: human gut metagenome
Description: bacterial SSU rRNA
Rfam family: Bacterial small subunit ribosomal RNA
Source: RNAcentral
AGAGUUUGAUCCUGGCUCAGGACGAACGCUGGCGGCGUGCCUAAUACAUGCAAGUCGUACGCUUCUUUUUCCACCGGAGCUUGCUCCACCGGAAAAAGAAGAGUGGCGAACGGGUGAGUAACACGUGGGUAACCUGCCCAUCAGAAGGGGAUAACACUUGGAAACAGGUGCUAAUACCGUAUAACAAUCGAAACCGCAUGGUUUUGAUUUGAAAGGCGCUUUCGGGUGUCGCUGAUGGAUGGACCCGCGGUGCAUUAGCUAGUUGGUGAGGUAACGGCUCACCAAGGCCACGAUGCAUAGCCGACCUGAGAGGGUGAUCGGCCACAUUGGGACUGAGACACGGCCCAAACUCCUACGGGAGGCAGCAGUAGGGAAUCUUCGGCAAUGGACGAAAGUCUGACCGAGCAACGCCGCGUGAGUGAAGAAGGUUUUCGGAUCGUAAAACUCUGUUGUUAGAGAAGAACAAGGAUGAGAGUAACUGUUCAUCCCUUGACGGUAUCUAACCAGAAAGCCACGGCUAACUACGUGCCAGCAGCCGCGGUAAUACGUAGGUGGCAAGCGUUGUCCGGAUUUAUUGGGCGUAAAGCGAGCGCAGGCGGUUUCUUAAGUCUGAUGUGAAAGCCCCCGGCUCAACCGGGGAGGGUCAUUGGAAACUGGGAGACUUGAGUGCAGAAGAGGAGAGUGGAAUUCCAUGUGUAGCGGUGAAAUGCGUAGAUAUAUGGAGGAACACCAGUGGCGAAGGCGGCUCUCUGGUCUGUAACUGACGCUGAGGCUCGAAAGCGUGGGGAGCAAACAGGAUUAGAUACCCUGGUAGUCCACGCCGUAAACGAUGAGUGCUAAGUGUUGGAGGGUUUCCGCCCUUCAGUGCUGCAGCUAACGCAUUAAGCACUCCGCCUGGGGAGUACGACCGCAAGGUUGAAACUCAAAGGAAUUGACGGGGGCCCGCACAAGCGGUGGAGCAUGUGGUUUAAUUCGAAGCAACGCGAAGAACCUUACCAGGUCUUGACAUCCUUUGACCACUCUAGAGAUAGAGCUUCCCCUUCGGGGGCAAAGUGACAGGUGGUGCAUGGUUGUCGUCAGCUCGUGUCGUGAGAUGUUGGGUUAAGUCCCGCAACGAGCGCAACCCUUAUUGUUAGUUGCCAUCAUUCAGUUGGGCACUCUAGCAAGACUGCCGGUGACAAACCGGAGGAAGGUGGGGAUGACGUCAAAUCAUCAUGCCCCUUAUGACCUGGGCUACACACGUGCUACAAUGGGAAGUACAACGAGUUGCGAAGUCGCAAGGCUAAGCUAAUCUCUUAAAGCUUCUCUCAGUUCGGAUUGCAGGCUGCAACUCGCCUGCAUGAAGCCGGAAUCGCUAGUAAUCGCGGAUCAGCACGCCGCGGUGAAUACGUUCCCGGGCCUUGUACACACCGCCCGUCACACCACGAGAGUUUGUAACACCCGAAGUCGGUGAGGUAACCUUUUGGAGCCAGCCGCCUAAGGUGGGAUAGAUGAUUGGGGUGAAGUCGUAACAAGGUAGCCGUAUCGGAAGGUGCGGCUG